RNAcentral lists this ribosomal RNA (157 nucleotides) under Cladonia pachycladodes. RNAcentral's name for it is "5.8S ribosomal RNA". It matches the Rfam family "5.8S ribosomal RNA". From Rfam's summary of the family: 5.8S ribosomal RNA (5.8S rRNA) is a component of the large subunit of the eukaryotic ribosome. It is transcribed by RNA polymerase I as part of the 45S precursor that also contains 18S and 28S rRNA. Lineage: Eukaryota; Fungi; Ascomycota; Lecanoromycetes; Lecanorales; Cladoniaceae. The record is from RNAcentral.
AACUUUCAACAACGGAUCUCUUGGUUCUGGCAUCGAUGAAGAACGCAGCGAAAUGCGAUAAGUAAUGUGAAUUGCAGAAUUCAGUGAAUCAUCGAAUCUUUGAACGCACAUUGCGCCCUUCGGCAUUCCGGGGGGCAUGCCUGUUCGAGCGUCAUUA